This is a long non-coding RNA of Helianthus annuus (common sunflower), 640 nucleotides long. RefSeq lists it as uncharacterized. Lineage: Eukaryota; Viridiplantae; Streptophyta; Magnoliopsida; Asterales; Asteraceae. The record is from RefSeq and is a predicted model, not a curated record. The transcript has 3 exons.
AUUUUUUUUUCGCCGAUUACUCGGUGAUUGGCAAUUGAUUCCGCGUUUCUAUUCUCGGCUACAAUCAUUCCGUGUUUCCUUGUAUACAAAGGUUGAACCUAGUCUACAAACAAACAUCAUUCAUCCUCUUCAAUUUUCGGAAACUUCGACUCUUGCCAAAAUCACGUUAACAAGGAACUUAUAUAAACGACAUUCUCACGGCCGUUCUCAACGCACCUCUCUCACAACUUAACUUUCCUCUUUCUCGCAACCCACCGGAGUUCGAAGUCGCCGGAGAUCGAGUAGGCGACUUACGGAUAUCACGUCGUCGGAGCUGAUGAGAAUUCGCACAUCAUCUUUUGGUUCGCGCUGGUUCACGUCGGAAGCCAACCGAGGAACUACGGACAUCGCGACAAGGAUUGUUUUCAUCUCGGUUAAUUCCUUCUCUUGUUCGUUCUCUUGGAUUAUUUCCCAAUCUUUACUCGCGCGUUAUUACAAGAAAUCGCAACGCAACUCAACCAUGUUGAUAGUCAAGAUGAAGAAGUCAAGUUAGAAUGGACUAGAUACCCAUUUUAAUAAUAAACCAUGUUUGUUGCUAUUUGUCUUUAUAUGAAACAAUGUAUUUGAAUUUAGUCAUUUAUGAAAUUUGAUUUAAUCUAUA